Molecule: ribosomal RNA, 455 nt
Filed under: Rhynocoris sp. 00004001
Lineage: Eukaryota; Metazoa; Arthropoda; Insecta; Hemiptera; Reduviidae
Description: eukaryotic LSU rRNA
Rfam family: Eukaryotic large subunit ribosomal RNA
Source: RNAcentral
AAGUAAAAAGUUGAGUUUAUAUAAAAGAAUUUAUUUCUUUUAUCAUAUCUCUCUUAAGGGAAGAUGAAAAUUUAAUUAACUAUAUAUAUAUAUAUUGUUAAUAAAAAUUUUUCGCACUCCCAGGGCGCUUGUUUCACGCUUUGCGUGUCAAUGCGCACCUAGAGCGUACACGCUGAUACCCGAAAGAUGGUGAACUAUGCCUGGCCAGGACGAAGCCAGGGGAAACCCUGGUGGAGGUCCGCAGCGAUUCUGACGUGCAAAUCGAUCGUCGGAGCUGGGUAUAGGGGCGAAAGACCAAUCGAACCAUCUAGUAGCUGGUUCCCUCUGAAGUUUCCCUCAGGAUAGCUUGCGCUCGGUUGAGAAGAGUCUCAUCCGGUAGAGCGAAUGAUUAGAGGCAUUGGGGUCGAAACGACCUCAACCUAUUCUCAAACUCCAAAUAGAUGAGAUCCUCGGCU